RNAcentral lists this ribosomal RNA (433 nucleotides) under uncultured bacterium. Its description in RNAcentral is "partial 16S ribosomal RNA". It matches the Rfam family "Bacterial small subunit ribosomal RNA", at positions 29 to 507 of the family's 1533-position model. The record is from RNAcentral.
AACGAACGCUGGCGGCAUGCCUAACACAUGCAAGUCGAACGAGACCUUCGGGUCUAGUGGCGCACGGGUGCGUAACGCGUGGGAACCUGCCCUUAGGUUCGGAAUAACUCCCUGAAAGGGGUGCUAAUACCGGAUAAUGUCUUCGGACCAAAGAUUUAUCGCCUUUGGAUGGGCCCGCGUUGGAUUAGCUAGUUGGUAGGGUAAAAGCCUACCAAGGCGACGAUCCAUAGCUGGUCUGAGAGGAUGAUCAGCCACACUGGGACUGAGACACGGCCCAGACUCCUACGGGAGGCAGCAGUGGGGAAUAUUGGAUAAUGGGCGAAAGCCUGAUCCAGCAAUGCCGCGUGAGUGAUGAAGGCCUUAGGGUUGUAAAGCUCUUUUACCCGGGAUGAUAAUGACAGUACCGGGAGAAUAAGCUCCGGCUAACUCCGUG